GAUGAAGAACGCAGCGAAAUGCGAUACGUAAUGUGAAUUGCAAAUUCAGUGAAUCAUCGAGUCUUUGAACGCACAUUGCGCCCCCUGGUAUUCCGGGGGGCAUGCCUGUCCGAGCGUCAUUGCUGCCCUCAAGCCUGGCUUGUGUGUUGGGCCCCGUCCCCCGAUCUCCGGGGGACGGGCCCGAAAGGCAGCGGCGGCACCGCGUCCGGUCCUCGAGCGUAUGGGGCUUUGUCACCCGCUCUGUAGGCCCGGCCGGCGCUUGCCGAUCAACCCAAAUUUUUAUCCAGGUUGACCUCGGAUCAGGUAGGGAUACCCGCUGAACUUAAGCAUAUCAAUAAGCGGAGGA
RNAcentral lists this unclassified non-coding RNA (346 nucleotides) under soil metagenome. RNAcentral's name for it is "partial contains 5.8S ribosomal RNA, internal transcribed spacer 2, and large subunit ribosomal RNA". The stretch from base 1 to 119 matches the Rfam family "5.8S ribosomal RNA", at positions 35 to 154 of the family's 154-position model. The record is from RNAcentral.